CACCAGAGGGCGCAAUAAGACCUGCUAACUCUUAAA
This 36-nucleotide transfer RNA is filed under the name Nerodia clarkii compressicauda. RNAcentral describes it as "partial tRNA-Ser". The record is from RNAcentral. Lineage: Eukaryota; Metazoa; Chordata; Lepidosauria; Squamata; Natricidae.